CUGUUUGCAGCUACGGCAGUGAGUAUGUAUGUGACGGACCCCGAGUCACCCGCGGCCUGGGACCCCUGCCUACCCUCCGUCUCGCCAGCCGAGCUGUGGAACUAGCGCGUGCCCCCUCGCCGACCUCGGCGUCUCCGGUCCGCCCCUCACUUGUGGUGGGGCGCAGCUCCUGGUCCCUCAGCUGCGCGCCGCCCCACGCGGCCGGGCUGCGGGUCUAGGGGGUCCGCAUCUCCCUGGCUCUCCAAGGGCUAAGGUCGUGAUUCUAGAGCGGCUGGGCGUCCAGGGCCUCGGUGGGGGUGGCGUGUCUGCCCUUUUUAUCUCCCCGCAAGGCCCCCAGUCUUCUAGGGAAGCCAGUCAGUGAAGCGCGGAGGUCCGGGCGCGCCGAGAGAGAGUCCAGUCUUUGAGGACCGAGUAGUCCUGGGCCACCUCCCGCCUCUGCUGUCAGAAGCAGCAGCUGCCGCCGUGGAAUCCAAAAUUUCGGGAGCUGUGUCCCUUUCCUCAUGUAACACGAGUAGUCUUGGACGGCUGGAGUGCAGUGGCGUGAUCAUAGCUCACUGUCAACUUUGAACACUUGGGCUCAAGCUAUCCUCCCUCAGCCUCCCAAGGUGGGAGGUACAGAUCUGGGCAUAGGAACCAAUCAGAAACAAUCGCUUCAGCAAUCAAGACCAUUGUUCAUCAUGGAGGAACCCAUGGAUACCUCUGAGCCUCUAUCUGCAUUACCAUUCACUGGGCAGCAGUCUUUUGAGCCAAGUGGCAAAUUUGGACAGUGUCCAUCCGAUGCAGAUGAACCACAUCCAGGCACUGGGGAGGUGGAGGACAUAGAACAGCUCAAUCAGUGUUUGAUCCAACACUUCCAUCUCAUUAAGACAAGUUUGAUUUUUCUUUGCUUUUUAUUUCAUGGAAUACAUGAGAAUCUCUUAACUGUUGGAGUUUCCAAGGAGGCAUACCUCGUGACUUCA
RNAcentral lists this long non-coding RNA (959 nucleotides) under Pan troglodytes (chimpanzee). Its description in RNAcentral is "lincRNA". Lineage: Eukaryota; Metazoa; Chordata; Mammalia; Primates; Hominidae. The record is from RNAcentral.